AAGGAAUUGACGGGGGCCCGCACAAGCGGCGGAGCAUGUGGCUUAAUUCGACGCAACGCGAAGAACCUUACCAAGGCUUGACAUACACCGGAAAACCCUGGAGACAGGGUCCCCCUUGUGGUCGGUGUACAGGUGGUGCAUGGCUGUCGUCAGCUCGUGUCGUGAGAUGUUGGGUUAAGUCCCGCAACGAGCGCAACCCUUGUCCCGUGUUGCCAGCAGGCCCUUGUGGUGCUGGGGACUCACGGGAGACCGCCGGGGUCAACUCGGAGGAAGGUGGGGACGACGUCAAGUCAUCAUGCCCCUUAUGUCUUGGGCUGCACACGUGCUACAAUGGCCGGUACAAUGAGCUGCGAUACCGCGAGGUGGAGCGAAUCUCAAAAAGCCGGUCUCAGUUCGGAUUGGGGUCUGCAACUCGACCCCAUGAAGUCGGAGUCGCUAGUAAUCGCAGAU
RNAcentral lists this ribosomal RNA (450 nucleotides) under Streptomyces sp. RNAcentral describes it as "bacterial SSU rRNA". It matches the Rfam family "Bacterial small subunit ribosomal RNA", at positions 904 to 1349 of the family's 1533-position model. Lineage: Bacteria; Bacillati; Actinomycetota; Actinomycetes; Kitasatosporales; Streptomycetaceae. The record is from RNAcentral.